AGUGAACGCUGGCGGUAGGCCUAACACAUGCAAGUCGAACGGCAGCACAGUAAGAGCUUGCUCUUACGGGUGGCGAGUGGCGGACGGGUGAGGAAUACAUCGGAAUCUACUUUUUCGUGGGGGAUAACGUAGGGAAACUUACGCUAAUACCGCAUACGACCUACGGGUGAAAGCAGGGGAUCUUCGGACCUUGCGCGAUUGAAUGAGCCGAUGUCGGAUUAGCUAGUUGGCGGGGUAAAGGCCCACCAAGGCGACGAUCCGUAGCUGGUCUGAGAGGAUGAUCCGCCACCAUGGAACUGAGACACGAUCCAGACUCCUACGGGAGGCAGCAGUGGGGAAUAUUGGACAAUGGGCGCAAGCCUGAUCCAGCCAUACCGCGUGGGUGAAGAAGGCCUUCGGGUUGUAAAGCCCUUUUGUUGGGAAAGAAAAGCAGCAGGUUAAUACCCCGCUGUUCUGACGGUACCCAAAGAAUAAGCACCGGCUAACUUCGUG
This 492-nucleotide ribosomal RNA is filed under the name uncultured bacterium. RNAcentral's name for it is "partial 16S ribosomal RNA". It matches the Rfam family "Bacterial small subunit ribosomal RNA", at positions 29 to 507 of the family's 1533-position model. The record is from RNAcentral.